RNAcentral lists this ribosomal RNA (511 nucleotides) under Bacillus subtilis. RNAcentral's name for it is "bacterial SSU rRNA". It matches the Rfam family "Bacterial small subunit ribosomal RNA", at positions 17 to 510 of the family's 1533-position model. Lineage: Bacteria; Bacillati; Bacillota; Bacilli; Caryophanales; Bacillaceae. The record is from RNAcentral.
UCCUGGCUCAGGACGAACGCUGGCGGCGUGCCUAAUACAUGCAAGUCGAGCGGACAGAUGGGAGCUUGCUCCCUGAUGUUAGCGGCGGACGGGUGAGUAACACGUGGGUAACCUGCCUGUAAGACUGGGAUAACUCCGGGAAACCGGGGCUAAUACCGGAUGGUUGUUUGAACCGCAUGGUUCAAACAUAAAAGGUGGCUUCGGCUACCACUUACAGAUGGACCCGCGGCGCAUUAGCUAGUUGGUGAGGUAACGGCUCACCAAGGCAACGAUGCGUAGCCGACCUGAGAGGGUGAUCGGCCACACUGGGACUGAGACACGGCCCAGACUCCUACGGGAGGCAGCAGUAGGGAAUCUUCCGCAAUGGACGAAAGUCUGACGGAGCAACGCCGCGUGAGUGAUGAAGGUUUUCGGAUCGUAAAGCUCUGUUGUUAGGGAAGAACAAGUACCGUUCGAAUAGGGCGGUACCUUGACGGUACCUAACCAGAAAGCCACGGCUAACUACGUGCCA